This 253-nucleotide ribosomal RNA is filed under the name uncultured bacterium. RNAcentral describes it as "partial 16S ribosomal RNA". It matches the Rfam family "Bacterial small subunit ribosomal RNA", at positions 524 to 776 of the family's 1533-position model. The record is from RNAcentral.
UACGUAGGGGGCAAGCGUUAUCCGGAUUUACUGGGUGUAAAGGGAGCGUAGACGGCAGUGCAAGUCUGGAGUGAAAGGCAAGGGCUCAACCCUUGGACUGCUUUGGAAACUGUGCUGCUGGAGUGUCGGAGAGGCAAGUGGAAUUCCUAGUGUAGCGGUGAAAUGCGUAGAUAUUAGGAGGAACACCAGUGGCGAAGGCGGCUUGCUGGACGAUGACUGACGUUGAGGCUCGAAAGCGUGGGGAGCAAACAGG